CCUACGGAGGCAGCAGUGGGGAAUAUUGGGCAAUGGGCGAAAGCCUGACCCAGCGACGCCGCGUGAGGGACGAAGGCCUUCGGGUUGUAAACCUCUUUCAGCAGGGAAGAAGCGAAAGUGACGGUACCUGCAGAAGAAGCACCGGCUAACUACGUGCCAGCAGCCGCGGUAAUACGUAGGGUGCAAGCGUUGUCCGGAAUUAUUGGGCGUAAAGAGCUCGUAGGUGGUUUGCCACGUCGGAUGUGAAAACCUGAGGCUUAACCUCAGGCCUGCAUUCGAUACGGGCAGACUAGAGUGUGGUAGGGGAGACUGGAAUUCCUGGUGUAGCGGUGAAAUGCGCAGAUAUCAGGAGGAACACCGGUGGCGAAGGCGGGUCUCUGGGCCAUAACUGACACUGAGGAGCGAAAGCGUGGGGAGCAAACAGGAUUAGAUACCCUGGUAGUCCACGCCGUAAACGGUGGGCACUAGAUGUGGGGACCUUCCACGGUCUCUGCGUCGCAGCUAACGCAUUAAGUGCCCCGCCUGGGGAGUACGGCCGCAAGGCUAAAACUCAAAGGAAUUGACGG
This 566-nucleotide ribosomal RNA is filed under the name uncultured bacterium. RNAcentral's name for it is "bacterial SSU rRNA". It matches the Rfam family "Bacterial small subunit ribosomal RNA", at positions 338 to 916 of the family's 1533-position model. The record is from RNAcentral.